Non-coding RNA from Oncorhynchus mykiss (rainbow trout), 2747 nucleotides. Lineage: Eukaryota; Metazoa; Chordata; Actinopteri; Salmoniformes; Salmonidae. The record is from RefSeq and is a predicted model, not a curated record.
UGCAGUGUGUUUGGACCGCGACGCGAUGCCAGUGUCUGUCUACUUCUUCAUGCCACCUGAGGACAGCUUCUCUCAACCAGUCUCCUUCACUGCUGCACCCUCUGAUACAGCAGGCACAGCCCCCUACACACACACACACACACACACACACACACACACACACACACACACACACACACUUAUUAUCUACACAUAGACACAUACCAACACACGCACACAGGAUCCCAUGAUUCCCACCAGUCCAAUCCUCGAAGACGACACACCUAAUAUGGGAUCUCCAUCUCCAGCCUCCAUACACCUCCACCAGCCCUAGCCCCAUUUCCCUACAGCAGGCCAUGUACCCCAUCCCCCAGCCCCAGUCCCCACACACCAAUAUAGACCUCUUUUCUUUUCCCAUAUCACACCUCCACCCAACCUAACAACUGUACACAGCAGGCCUCAUCCUAAAGUCCCAAUGCAAUACUUCCAACAGCCCAUUCCACUGAUUCCAGGCCUGUUCUGUAGGCCCAACAUCACGCCUCCACCGGAUCCAAUACCAGCAGGCUGUCUGCCCAGCUCUGUGCCUGAGAUCAGGGGGUGCCUCUCUAUAGACCAACUCUCUAUAGUAGUCUUUUCACUCCAGGGAUUUAGUUCAUACAGUGCUACUGUAGGUCAGAACACUCCAGGGGUUUAGUUCAUACAGUACUACUGUAGGUCAGAACACUCCAGGGGUUUAGUUUAUACAGUACUACUGUAGGUCAGAACACUCCAGGGGUUUAGUUCAUACAGUACUACUGUAGGUCAGAACACUCCAGGGGUUUAGUUCAUACAGUACUACAGUAGGUCAGAACACUUCAGGGGUUUAGUUCAUACAGUACUACUGUAGGUCAGAACACUCCAGGGGUUUAGUUCAUACAGUGCUACUGUAGGUCAGAACACUCCAGGGGUUUAGUUCAUACAGUACUACUGUAGGUCAGAACACUCCAGGCGUUUAGUUCAUACAGUACUACUGUAGGUCAGAACACUCCAGGGGUUUAGUUUAUACAGUACUACUGUAGGUCAGAACACUCCAGGGGUUUAGUUCAUACGGUGCUACUGUAGGUCAGAAAACUCCAGGGGUUUAGUUCAUACAGUACUACUGUAGGUCAGAACACUCCAGGGGUUUAGUUCAUACAGUGCUACUAUAGUUCAGAACACUCCAGGGGUUUAGUUCAUACAGUACUACUGUAGGCCAGAACACUCCAAGGGUUUAGUUCAUACAGUGCUACUAUAGUUCAGAACACUCCAGGGGUUUUGUUCAUACAGUACUACUGUAGGUCAGGGGUUUAGUUCAUACAGUGCUACUGUAGGUCAGAACACUCCAGGGGUUUAGUUCAUACAGUACUACUGUAGGUCAGAACACUCCAGGGGUUUAGUUCAUACAGUGCUACUGUAGGUCAGAACACUCCAGGGGUUUAGUUCAUACAGUACUACUGUAGGUCAGAACACUCCAGGGGUUUAGUUCAUACAGUACUACUGUAGGUCAGAACACUCCAGGGGUUUAGUUCAUACAGUGCUACUGUAGGUCAGAACACUCCAGGGUUUUAGUUCAUACAGUGCUACUGUAGGUCAGAACACUCCAGGGGUUUAGUUCAUACAGUACUACUGUAGGUCAGAACACUCCAGGGGUUUAGUUCAUACAGUACUACUGUUGGUCAGAACACUCCAGGGGUUUAGUUCAUACAGUACUACUGUAGGUCAGAACACUCAAGGGUUUUAGUUCAUACAGUGCUACUGUAGGUCGGAACACUCCAGGGGUUUAGUUCAUACAGUGCUACUAUAGUUCAGAACACUCCAGGGGUUUAGUUCAUACAGUACUACUGUAGGUCAGGGGUUUAGUUCAUACAGUGCUACUAUAGUUCAGAACACUCCAGGGGUUUAGUUCAUACAGUACUACUGUAGGUCAGGGGUUUAGUUCAGACAUUACUACUGUAGGUCAGAACACUCCAGGGGUUUAGUUCAUACAGUGCUACUAUAGUUCAGAACACUCCAGGGGUUUAGUUCAUACAGUACUACUGUAGGUCAGGGGUUUAGUUCAGACAUUACUACUGUAGGUCAGAACACUCCAGGGGUUUAGUUCAUACAGUACUACUGUAGGUCAGGGGUUUAGUUCAGACAGUACUACUGUAGGUCAGAACACUCCAGGGGUUUAGUUCAGACAGUACUACUGUAGGUCAGAACACUCCAGGGGUUUAGUUCAUACAGUACUACUGUAGGUCAGAACACCCCAGGGGUUUAGUUCAUACAGUACUACUGUAGGUCAGAACACUCCAGGGGUAUAGUUCAUACAGUGCUACUGUAGGUCAGAACACUCCAGGGGUUUAGUUCAUACAGUACUACUGUUGGUCAGAACACUCCAGGGGUUUAGUUCAUACAGUACUACUGUAGGUCAGAACACUCCAGGGGUUUAGUUCAUACAGUGCUACUGUAGGUCAGAACACUCCAGGGGUUUAGUUCAUACAGUACUACUGUUGGUCAGAACACUCCAGGGGUUUAGUUCAUACAGUACUACUGUAGGUCAGAACACUCAAGGGUUUUAGUUCAUACAGUGCUACUGUAGGUCGGAACACUCCAGGGGUUUAGUUCAUACAGUGCUACUAUAGUUCAGAACACUCCAGGGGUUUAGUUCAUACAGUACUACUGUAGGUCAGGGGUUUAGUUCAUACAGUACUACUGUAGGUCAGAACACUCCAGGGGUUUAGUUCAUACAGUGCUACUGUAGGUCAGAA